This 816-nucleotide long non-coding RNA is filed under the name Aquilegia coerulea. RNAcentral's name for it is "long non-coding RNA (ACOE_LNC000711)". Lineage: Eukaryota; Viridiplantae; Streptophyta; Magnoliopsida; Ranunculales; Ranunculaceae. The record is from RNAcentral.
GAACAAUCAUAGAAUAAAAAAAUAAAAUUAAACAUAAAUUGUAGAAUUGAAACCUUCCUGGUUACCUGGCUCAAAAUCGUAUUAAGAUAAGUUCCACUAGACAAUUGAACAGACCACCUUCCACAACCAAAAUUGAUGAUAUCUUUUUCCCCAUGGAACAAUGAGAAUAAUAUAAAACAAAAAAUCAAAGAUGUAAACUUACUGAUAUGAUUCUUUAAUUUAAGCUUUUGAUUUGGGGAAAAAAAAAACACCACAAACACCUAAAUUCUCAAUUUUGAUCGAUGAAUCUCAUUGUUACAUCUUAAGGUUUUAUAUAAGCAAAUAGCUAAUUACUAAUCCUAAUCUAAAUAGAAUUUAAUAGAAUUCAUACAAUUAGUAUACUAUAAUCGAAACAAAUAAGUAAUAGAUUCAGUCCUAAAUCAUAUAAAAGAGCAUUAACCCUAAACCCAAAAACGAUAAAAAUUAAAAUUCUCAAGAGAAAUCGAAAAAUUGAAACCUUAUACAGAAUUUCUUAACAGAAAUUAUCACUUACAAGCUUGAUGAUUCGCAGCAGAAGAGAAACUAUUAGAAGCACACCAAGCAAAACCUUCCCCCCCAAAAAAAUAUUGAAAAAUUGAACCUUAAAAUCUUAAUUCUCUAUGGAGGAGAAAUAUGUUUCGUUGAGUAAGAGAGAGGUUAAAAGGUUUAGUUAGGGUUUUUCUUCAUAUUCAUCUCAAGAAGACAAGAACCAGUAAAAGAGAUGAACAACGAUUUUCUGAAUUGGGUAAUAGGGAUUACCGUGUUAACACUUAAUGGUCUUCUCCGUGCGAACCACGU